RNAcentral lists this ribosomal RNA (253 nucleotides) under uncultured bacterium. RNAcentral's name for it is "partial 16S ribosomal RNA". It matches the Rfam family "Bacterial small subunit ribosomal RNA", at positions 524 to 776 of the family's 1533-position model. The record is from RNAcentral.
UACGGAGGGUGCGAGCGUUGUCCGGAAUCACUGGGCGUAAAGGGCGCGUAGGCGGCGCGGGCAGUCAACGGUGAAAGCUCGGGGCUCAACUCCGAGUCGGCCGUCGAUACUCCCGCGCUCGAGCACUGUAGAGGCAGGUGGAAUUCCGGGUGUAGCGGUGGAAUGCGUAGAGAUCCGGAAGAACACCGGUGGCGAAGGCGGCCUGCUGGGCAGUAGCUGACGCUGAGGCGCGAAAGCCAGGGGAGCAAACGGG